GAGUUUGAUCCUGGCUCAGAUUGAACGCUGGCGGUAUGCUUAAGACAUGCAAGUCGUGCGGUAGAAGGCUUCGGCCUUUGAGAGCGGCGGACGGGUGAGUAACACGUGGGAAUCUACCUAUUAGUGGGGGACAGCCCAGCGAAAGCUGGAUUAAUACCGCAUACGCCCUACGGGGGAAAGCAGCAAUGCGCUAAUAGAUGAGCCCGCGUAAGAUUAGCUAGUUGGUAAGGUAAAGGCUUACCAAGGCGACGAUCUUUAGCUGGUCUGAGAGGAUGGCCAGCCACAUCGGGACUGAGACACGGCCCGGACUCCUACGGGAGGCAGCAGUCGGGAAUAUUGGACAAUGGGCGCAAGCCUGAUCCAGCAAUACCGCGUGUGUGAAGAAGGCCUGCGGGUUGUAAAGCACUUUCAGUUGGGAAGAUAAUGACGUUACCAACAGAAGAAGCACCGGCUAACUCCGUGCCAGCAGCCGCGGUAAUACGGAGGGUGCAAGCGUUAAUCGGAAUUACUGGGCGUAAAGCGUGCGUAGGCGGCCUGUUAAGUCAGAUGUGAAAGCCCCGGGCUUAACCUGGGAACUGCAUCUGAUACUGGGAGGCUAGAAUGUGGGAGAGGAGAGUGGAAUUUCCGGUGUAGCGGUGAAAUGCAUAGAGAUCGGAAGGAACACCAGUGGCGAAGGCGGCUCUCUGGACCAACAUUGACGCUGAGGCACGAAAGCGUGGGUAGCAAACAGGAUUAGAUACCCUGGUAGUCCACGCCGUAAACGAUGUCCACUAGCCGCCGGCCUCACUCUAGAGGUCGGUGGUGCAGCUAACGCAUUAAGUUGACCGCCUGGGGAGUACGGCCGCAAGGUUGAA
This 854-nucleotide ribosomal RNA is filed under the name uncultured Gammaproteobacteria bacterium. RNAcentral's name for it is "bacterial SSU rRNA". It matches the Rfam family "Bacterial small subunit ribosomal RNA", at positions 9 to 898 of the family's 1533-position model. Lineage: Bacteria; Pseudomonadati; Pseudomonadota; Gammaproteobacteria. The record is from RNAcentral.